UCGUCGGCCCUUUUUAGGGCCAUCAAAUUAGUGCAAAAAAGUUAAA
Aedes aegypti (yellow fever mosquito) is the source of this 46-nucleotide non-coding RNA. The record is from Rfam. NCBI's taxonomy places the organism in Eukaryota, Metazoa, Arthropoda, Insecta, Diptera, Culicidae.